Lonchura striata (white-rumped munia) is the source of this 803-nucleotide long non-coding RNA. RefSeq lists it as uncharacterized. The record is from RefSeq and is a predicted model, not a curated record. Lineage: Eukaryota; Metazoa; Chordata; Aves; Passeriformes; Estrildidae.
CAUCAGCCUCCAUCACUGGCCGGGUGUCGGAGGAGCCCCGAGCUCCCCGGCUGCCGAGCCAAGGGAGCCGGCUGCUCCAUCAACCCGCACUCCGCGGGCGCACCGAGGCUCGGAGGUGCGUUUGUUUGCAGGAUGCCGCUGCUCGCACCUCACCCGACGCCGGCAAUCUGCACAUGUGCCCUGCCCCGUGUACGUGGAGCCAGACGUGAGCCACCUCAUGGGGCCCGGCCAGCAUUGCAAUCUGGUUUUGCCCUCUCAGGGCCCCCUUAUCUUUCACUCAUCAUAGAAGUUUAGAGCAGGUGCUGAAAUUUUUAGAUGCCUUUUAAAGAUUCCACUCCAGGGAACUGGUUACCAUGGAAAGGGCUUGCCAAUGGACAUGGGUGUGGUCUUGUAUCCAUUAAAUUCAUUGCAAAGGAGAAACAAAAUGCUUUCCAGAUGCAGCCCUCAUGAAAAGCAGAGAUGACCAGCCACUCUCCAGUCCAUGCUGGGCCAGGUCACUUAGCUCACCCUGGGCAAGCAGCCAGCUCUGUCCCAUAGCAUCAUUUUCUUUCUCUCCUUCAAAAAUUAAAAUAUAGAAUGAAUUUACCUCACAUGAAAUUUAAAAUCUCUGAGCAGCCUGAGUGGUCAUUUCUAAAAUAUCUCAAGUCUCACACUAAACAGUAAUUUCAGUUGUUACUUAAACCUGUGUGGAAAAUUAAAAAAUGUGCUGAGCAAAUCCUAAAGCUUUUGAAACUUGGAAGAAAACAGUUUUCCUAGUCUCCCAGCUGGUAGAUCAUUGCUGGAUUGCAGUGCUUGCUGCAGUG